GACCUUCCCAGUUCAGAAUGGCGCAGACAAAAGCAAGCAAUGCUGAGGAUGUCUUUACUGGAGUAGCUGCCCUGGGAAGAGUGGGUCAUGGAACUCCAGUGUUUGAUCAAGAAAGAACUGUGGCUGGAUGAGGCAUACUGGGCGCUACGGUGGUACUUGGUCCAAAGGUGCCCUUGAAUGGCGGAGAAUGAAAGACCAGAGGGGGAUGACUACAAUGGCCCUGGCCUGCUAUGGGAGGCAUAAGAGGAGGAAAGUGAUUUCGGCAGCACAGAGGAGUCUCGGUAUUGGGACAUUCAGGAAUACGGUAUGGACGCACUGGAGCUAUCUGAUACUACAGGCCUGGGACCAGAUAUCACCUGUCAGGUCGCUAUUGAAUGGGAACUGGAGCAAGAAUAUCAGAACCUAUGAGAGGAGAUGAUUGGUCCCUCUGCCCAGCGGCAAUGUACUAUGCAGGUAGAGGAGACAACUGGUCUCUCUCCCUAGCGGCAGCCAGAGUUACAGGUAGAGGAGAUGAUCUGUCCCUCUCCACAGCAGCAGCAAGCAUCACUGGGAGUGGAGAUAGUCGGUCUCACUACCUAGCACCAAACAGCGUCACAGUGAAUGGAGACAGUCAGUCUCACUCCUCAGCGGCAGUGUACCAGGCAGGGAGAGGAGACAAC
Molecule: non-coding RNA, 659 nt
Organism: Pelobates cultripes (western spadefoot toad)
Lineage: Eukaryota; Metazoa; Chordata; Amphibia; Anura; Pelobatidae
Source: the annotation of a GenBank genome assembly